Molecule: ribosomal RNA, 301 nt
Filed under: uncultured bacterium
Lineage: Bacteria
Description: partial 16S ribosomal RNA
Rfam family: Bacterial small subunit ribosomal RNA
Source: RNAcentral
CAGUCGCCACGGUAAUACGUAGGUGGCAAGCGUUGUCCGGAAUUAUUGGGCGUAAAGGGCUCGCAGGCGGUUUCUUAAGUCUGAUGUGAAAGCCCCCGGCUCAACCGGGGAGGGUCAUUGGAGACUGGGAAACUUGAGUGCAGAAGAGGAGAGUGGAAUUCCACGUGUAGCGGUGAAAUGCGUAGAGAUGUGGAGGAACACCAGUGGCGAAGGCGACUCUCUGGUCUGUAACUGACGCUGAGGAGCGAAAGCGUGGGGAGCGAACAGGAUUAGAUACCCCAGUAGUCCCUGUCUCUUAUAC